This 496-nucleotide ribosomal RNA is filed under the name uncultured bacterium. RNAcentral describes it as "partial 16S ribosomal RNA". It matches the Rfam family "Bacterial small subunit ribosomal RNA", at positions 28 to 506 of the family's 1533-position model. The record is from RNAcentral.
GAUGAACGCUGGCGGCGUGCCUAAUACAUGCAAGUCGAGCGAACAGAUGAGGAGCUUGCUCCUCUGACGUUAGCGGCGGACGGGUGAGUAACACGUGGAUAACCUACCUAUAAGACUGGGAUAACUUCGGGAAACCGGAGCUAAUACCGGAUAAUAUAUUGAACCGCAUGGUUCUAUAGUGAAAGACGGUUUUGCUGUCACUUAUAGAUGGAUCCGCGCCGCAUUAGCUAGUUGGUAAGGUAACGGCUUACCAAGGCAACGAUGCGUAGCCGACCUGAGAGGGUGAUCGGCCACACUGGAACUGAGACACGGUCCAGACUCCUACGGGAGGCAGCAGUAGGGAAUCUUCCGCAAUGGGCGAAAGCCUGACGGAGCAACGCCGCGUGAGUGAUGAAGGUCUUCGGAUCGUAAAACUCUGUUAUUAGGGAAGAACAAAUGUGUAAGUAACUAUGCACGUCUUGACGGUACCUAAUCAGAAAGCCACGGCUAACUACGU